RNAcentral lists this small RNA (386 nucleotides) under Rattus norvegicus (Norway rat). RNAcentral describes it as "uncharacterized LOC102555473". The record is from RNAcentral. Lineage: Eukaryota; Metazoa; Chordata; Mammalia; Rodentia; Muridae.
UGCCACCACACUACAAGACAAGCUUCACGUGUGCUUUCCCUCCUUUGAUUGGAAAGCACAGCGUAGGGAACCACUGCCCCUUCGAAGCUGUCACACACCAGAAUCCUCACCACCGACGGGCUUAUUGACGUCAUAAAGCGACGACGCUACUAUUAGAAGCCUUGCCGCCGCCGCCAGAGGGAGAGCUAUGAAACAUGCUGGAGGAUCUACAACAUGGAAAUGGCUCGAAAGAUUAACUUCUUGGUGCGAAAGAACCGUGCAGACCCAUGGCUGGGCUGCUAAGGCUUGAGCCCACAUUGUUUCUACGUCCAACUCCUUUUUUUAUGCAACCCAUUUCUGUUACUUUUCUCCACAAUAAACUCAAUCACAGGUGAACAAGAAAAAAA